GCCGAGCUUGAACAUGAAAAAAGGCACGAAAUUCAUUUCAACCCGAGCUUGAGUAUUACUCAGCUCGUUCGAAUUAAGCUCGAAAAGCUCGAAUAUAUAUAUAUAUAUAUAGUAGAGCUACUAUGCUAUCGAAAGUAUAGAUGAUCUGAUGCUUUUGAUUUUUUGAUUCUUAGAUUAACCCCUUUAAUUAUUUCUUAGAAUUAAUACUAUUAUUAUAUUGUAGGGACCACUCAAUCCCAGGAAUAUUAUUUAAUCCUAGGGGGGGACCGCAAUCAUCCCAACCAUAUAAUUCUUAAUCAAAUGGUCAAAAUUUUGAAAACAUCAAAUCCUCCAUAUUUUCGAUAGCAUAGUAGUUCUACACUAUAUAUAUAUAUAUAUAUAUAUAUAUAUAUUAAAAAAUAUAUAAAUAUAAUAUAUUUUAAUUAUAUAUAGGCUGAGUGAAUAAUUUAAGUUUAGUUAAAAUUGGGCCAAUGUUGUUGGCCCAUAAAAACAAACCCAAUAGACAAAUAAAAAAGCAAAACUUCACUAAAUUUAUACAUUUUUCCUUUCUUUCUUUCUUUCACAGAACUCUAAAUUUUAAAUAUAUUUCUCUCUUUCUCUUUUUCUGUCUCUCACCCUAAGCGGCCAAGCCGGAAGCUCUCCAAGUUACCAAGUAACAGUAUAUGCCUGCCGUUGCCUACCUUGCUAUUAAUUGUAUGCUUGAGAAAAUAUACAGAAUAUUUUUAUAGUAAAAAAUUAUUAUUCAUAUAAAAUUUUAAUUUUUGUUAUAUAUGAUUAGAUAGUUUAAUCCAAUAUUUAUCUAUAUAAUUUAUUUAUUUUUGACUGUAUAAAUGAAAAUGAAUAAUAUGAAGAUUGAAGUCAGAAGAAAAGACAUGUGAGGCUGAAAAGAUUAGAUAUUCAACUCAUAAAUUAUUUUUUUUCAUAUUAUAAUACUGUAUUUUAUAUAAUUAUUUUGUACUUUGAACUAUUAGACAUAUGUAUCAAAUUAUAGAUAAUGUUCUAUACAAAUUAAACUAUUGAUCGUAUGAUGUUGAGAAUUUCAAGCGGCUCGUUUAGGGCUCGAGCUCGCUCGACUCGAAAUUAGGCUCGCUCGAGCUCGGCUCGAAUUAAUUUCAAUCCAAGCUUGAGCUUAAAUUUAAGCUCGAAAUUAAUUUCAAGCCGAAUUUGAGCCGAGGUAAGCUCGCUCGAGCUCGGCUCGUUUCCACCCCUAGGUGAGAUUAUCUCUAACGCAAAAAAAAAUAUAUAUAUUUUGUUUAAAAAAUAAUUAGGAAGGUAAGCUUAUUUUUUGCUUAAAGUUAUUCUCUCUAACUGCUGCAGUUGGAACUGUGGUCAAUUGAAUGCAGUUCCAACUUCCAACUGCUGUAGUUCGGCCUCCUCCUGCAGUUCCUACUGCAGCAAUUGGAGUUAAAUUACAUCAAACCAAACAUCGAAUUUGUAUUUACAUAUAAUUAUUAUUGCAAUAUAAUUAUAACUACAUGCAACCAAACAGUUCCUUAUAUUAGAAAAUGUCGGUGUAAAAGUAUGACGAAGGAUAUUGGAAUUAAAAUAUAAAAUAAAAUAAAUAAUCAAUAAAUACAUAAU
RNAcentral lists this long non-coding RNA (1581 nucleotides) under Ananas comosus (pineapple). RNAcentral's name for it is "long non-coding RNA (ACOM_LNC040817)". Lineage: Eukaryota; Viridiplantae; Streptophyta; Magnoliopsida; Poales; Bromeliaceae. The record is from RNAcentral.